This 1491-nucleotide ribosomal RNA is filed under the name Bacillus pumilus. RNAcentral's name for it is "bacterial SSU rRNA". It matches the Rfam family "Bacterial small subunit ribosomal RNA". Lineage: Bacteria; Bacillati; Bacillota; Bacilli; Caryophanales; Bacillaceae. The record is from RNAcentral.
AUCCUGGCUCAGGACGAACGCUGGCGGCGUGCCUAAUACAUGCAAGUCGAGCGGACAGAAGGGAGCUUGCUCCCGGAUGUUAGCGGCGGACGGGUGAGUAACACGUGGGUAACCUGCCUGUAAGACUGGGAUAACUCCGGGAAACCGGAGCUAAUACCGGAUAGUUCCUUGAACCGCAUGGUUCAAGGAUGAAAGACGGUUUCGGCUGUCACUUACAGAUGGACCCGCGGCGCAUUAGCUAGUUGGUGGGGUAAUGGCUCACCAAGGCGACGAUGCGUAGCCGACCUGAGAGGGUGAUCGGCCACACUGGGACUGAGACACGGCCCAGACUCCUACGGGAGGCAGCAGUAGGGAAUCUUCCGCAAUGGACGAAAGUCUGACGGAGCAACGCCGCGUGAGUGAUGAAGGUUUUCGGAUCGUAAAGCUCUGUUGUUAGGGAAGAACAAGUGCGAGAGUAACUGCUCGCACCUUGACGGUACCUAACCAGAAAGCCACGGCUAACUACGUGCCAGCAGCCGCGGUAAUACGUAGGUGGCAAGCGUUGUCCGGAAUUAUUGGGCGUAAAGGGCUCGCAGGCGGUUUCUUAAGUCUGAUGUGAAAGCCCCCGGCUCAACCGGGGAGGGUCAUUGGAAACUGGGAAACUUGAGUGCAGAAGAGGAGAGUGGAAUUCCACGUGUAGCGGUGAAAUGCGUAGAGAUGUGGAGGAACACCAGUGGCGAAGGCGACUUUUUGGUCUGUAACUGACGCUGAGGAGCGAAAGCGUGGGGAGCGAACAGGAUUAGAUACCCUGGUAGUCCACGCCGUAAACGAUGAGUGCUAAGUGUUAGGGGGUUUCCGCCCUUUAGUGCUGCAGCUAACGCAUUAAGCACUCCGCCUGGGGAGUACGGUCGCAAGACUGAAACUCAAAGGAAUUGACGGGGGCCCGCACAAGCGGUGGAGCAUGUGGUUUAAUUCGAAGCAACGCGAAGAACCUUACCAGGUCUUGACAUCCUCUGACAACCCUAGAGAUAGGGCUUUCCCUUCGGGGACAGAGUGACAGGUGGUGCAUGGUUGUCGUCAGCUCGUGUCGUGAGAUGUUGGGUUAAGUCCCGCAACGAGCGCAACCCUUGAUCUUAGUUGCCAGCAUUCAGUUGGGCACUCUAAGGUGACUGCCGGUGACAAACCGGAGGAAGGUGGGGAUGACGUCAAAUCAUCAUGCCCCUUAUGACCUGGGCUACACACGUGCUACAAUGGACAGAACAAAGGGCUGCAAGACCGCAAGGUUUAGCCAAUCCCAUAAAUCUGUUCUCAGUUCGGAUCGCAGUCUGCAACUCGACUGCGUGAAGCUGGAAUCGCUAGUAAUCGCGGAUCAGCAUGCCGCGGUGAAUACGUUCCCGGGCCUUGUACACACCGCCCGUCACACCACGAGAGUUUGCAACACCCGAAGUCGGUGAGGUAACCUUUAUGGAGCCAGCCGCCGAAGGUGGGGCAGAUGAUUGGGGUGAAGUCGUA